AUUGAACGCUGGCGGCAUGCCUUACACAUGCAAGUCGAACGGCAGCACGGGAGCAAUCCUGGUGGCGAGUGGCGAACGGGUGAGUAAUAUAUCGGAACGUGCCCAGUCUGGGGGAUAACGUAGCGAAAGCUACGCUAAUACCGCAUACUAUCUAUGGAUGAAAGCGGGGGAUCGCAAGACCUCGCGCGAUUGGAGCGGCCGAUAUCAGAUUAGGUAGUUGGUGAGGUAAAGGCUCACCAAGCCGACGAUCUGUAGCUGGUCUGAGAGGACGACCAGCCACACUGGGACUGAGACACGGCCCAGACUCCUACGGGAGGCAGCAGUGGGGGAAUUUUUGGGACAAUGGGCGCAAGCCUGAUCCAGCAAUGCCGCGUGCAGGAUGAA
This 384-nucleotide ribosomal RNA is filed under the name uncultured bacterium. Its description in RNAcentral is "bacterial SSU rRNA". It matches the Rfam family "Bacterial small subunit ribosomal RNA", at positions 30 to 412 of the family's 1533-position model. The record is from RNAcentral.